Molecule: ribosomal RNA, 567 nt
Filed under: uncultured bacterium
Lineage: Bacteria
Description: partial 16S ribosomal RNA
Rfam family: Bacterial small subunit ribosomal RNA
Source: RNAcentral
UGGGGAAUAUUGCACAAUGGGCGCAAGCCUGAUGCAGCCAUGCCGCGUGUGUGAAGAAGGCCUUCGGGUUGUAAAGCACUUUCAGCGAGGAGGAAGGUGGUGAGCUUAAUACGCUCAUCAAUUGACGUUACUCGCAGAAGAAGCACCGGCUAACUCCGUGCCAGCAGCCGCGGUAAUACGGAGGGUGCAAGCGUUAAUCGGAAUUACUGGGCGUAAAGCGCACGCAGGCGGUUUGUUAAGUCAGAUGUGAAAUCCCCGGGCUCAACCUGGGAACUGCAUUUGAAACUGGCAAGCUAGAGUCUCGUAGAGGGGGGUAGAAUUCCAGGUGUAGCGGUGAAAUGCGUAGAGAUCUGGAGGAAUACCGGUGGCGAAGGCGGCCCCCUGGACGAAGACUGACGCUCAGGUGCGAAAGCGUGGGGCAGCAAACAGGAUUAGAUACCCUGGUAGUCCACGCUGUAAACGAUGUCGAUUUUGGAGGUUGUGCCCUUGAGGCGUGGCUUCCGGAGCUAACGCGUUAAAUCGACCGCCUGGGGAGUACGGCCGCAAGGUUAAAACUCAAAUGAAUUG